UACGUAGGUGGCAAGCAUUGUCCGGAUUUACUGGGCGUAAAGAGCGCGCAGGCGGUCGUGCAAGUCGCGUGUGAAAGCCCCCGGCUCAACUGGGGAGGGUCACGCGAUACUGCUCGACUCGAAGGCAGGAGAGGGAAGUGGAAUUCCCGGUGUAGUGGUGAAAUGCGUAGAUAUCGGGAGGAACACCAGUGGCGAAGGCGACUUCCUGGCCUGUUCUUGACGCUGAGGCGCGAAAGCUAGGGUAGCAAACGGG
RNAcentral lists this ribosomal RNA (253 nucleotides) under uncultured bacterium. Its description in RNAcentral is "partial 16S ribosomal RNA". It matches the Rfam family "Bacterial small subunit ribosomal RNA", at positions 524 to 776 of the family's 1533-position model. The record is from RNAcentral.